UGGGAAUAUUGCACAAUGGGCGAAAGCCUGAUGCAGCGACGCCGCGUGAGGGAUGACGGCCUUCGGGUUGUAAACCUCUUUCAGCAGGGACGAAGCGCAAGUGACGGUACCUGCAGAAGAAGCACCGGCCAACUACGUGCCAGCAGCCGCGGUAAUACGUAGGGUGCGAGCGUUGUCCGGAAUUACUGGGCGUAAAGAGCUCGUAGGCGGUUUGUCGCGUCGUCUGUGAAAUUCUGCAGCUUAACUGCAGGCGUGCAGGCGAUACGGGCAGACUUGAGUACUACAGGGGAGACUGGAAUUCCUGGUGUAGCGGUGAAAUGCGCAGAUAUCAGGAGGAACACCGGUGGCGAAGGCGGGUCUCUGGGUAGUAACUGACGCUGAGGAGCGAAAGCGUGGGUAGCGAACAGGAUUAGAUACCCUGGUAGUCCACGCCGUAAACGGUGGGUACUAGGUGUGGGUUCCAUUUCACGGGAUCCGUGCCGUAGCUAACGCAUUAAGUACCCCGCCUGGGGAGUACGGCCGCAAGGCUAAAACUCAAAGGAAUUGACGGGGUCAUAGCUGUUUUCCCU
Molecule: ribosomal RNA, 569 nt
Filed under: uncultured bacterium
Lineage: Bacteria
Description: partial 16S ribosomal RNA
Rfam family: Bacterial small subunit ribosomal RNA
Source: RNAcentral